GUGCGACAAAUAAUUAACAGGUGUUAAUUGCUCUGUAACAGGCACAAACUGUGACCGUCCCAGACACCCUGUGCUAGAGAGCUCCUGAGGAAUCUGAAGUAGGGGUGUGACGGGAGCAGAUUUGCAGUUCAGAAAGGUCGCUGGCUGCAGUGGGAAAGACGGGUGGCACGUAUUUUUAUUGGAAAAGAUAAAACACGCUCAGUAUAAAGAAUUCAGAUGGUGAAAACUGCGCAGUGACAGGUAGUCGAUGACAGGCACUCAUUACGCUGCUAGAGCUUAACUGCUCUGCCGGGGUCACCUGCCCGAAUUCGAAGUUCACCCGAGAGGGAACAGGAUAAGAGUGGGGUCCCAGCAGGGAAGACGAGCUAUAGCCGGCGGUGUGCUGGCCUCUGAGGCAGGGGCUGCUCUCAGGCAUCUCUCUCUGGAGUUCACUUCUAUGGGUGAGUACUGAGGGGCUACUGUGUGCCGGGCUCAGGAGAUGCAAGGAUGAGGAAAGUCCAGUCUCUUCCUCUGAGGUCCCGUGGCUGAGUGGAGGAGAUAACCUAGUAAACAGGUUCCUUGGAGGAAAUGCAACAAACUAGAGGGAAGAAACCAGGAUGAGGGGCACCUAACCCAGCAUGGGGCAAUCAGGAGAGACUUCCUGGAGGAGGUGAUACCCGAGCUGGGUCUUGUAGCACGAGAGAGUCAGCCUGGUGGAAGUUGUGGAAAGAUGUUUCUCACCACUGGAGCAGCCUCUGCAAAAGACACAGGCGUGGGCUAGCGCGGCAUGUCAUGGGGGCUACAAGUACAGUGUCUGACAGUGCUGGGACCCAAAGUCUAGAAAGGUCGUGUCGCUGGCAUUGUGCCUGGCACAGAGUAGCUGUGGCAAUUGCUGUGGAAUAAAGAACAACUUGAAGGGGACCAGGACUUUCUUUAGACAAGAGACGGGGUGAGUUUCCUGAGCAAAUCAGUGUGAAUGUCUACAAGCGCCUGGGGAGACAUUUUCCCCAGGAAGAGCAAUUUUCUGACUGGCUUGUUUGAUUUUUGCCAUUUCGGAUGUGGCGAAUAUUUUUAUUGUGGUAAUUUGUGAGGUUAGCAAUUGUUGUUUUGAACACUUAAAAAUACAGAAAACUUCAAAAGAUGAUAUGAUUUUCAGGUUCCUGACACCCCAGUGAACAGAUAUUACCAUGUUUUCGUGUAUACUUCAGACCUUUUCGUUUGCUUGUUUUUCUGACAUAAAACACUACAGAUAAAAUUGAAGCCCCUUCUGUUCCCCAUCAUCUCUCCUUAGAGGAAACCGUUGUCAUGAAUUCUGGAUGCAUCCAUGCUGU
This 1310-nucleotide long non-coding RNA is filed under the name Equus caballus (horse). Its description in RNAcentral is "lncRNA (ENSECAG00000058984.1)". The record is from RNAcentral. Lineage: Eukaryota; Metazoa; Chordata; Mammalia; Perissodactyla; Equidae.